Molecule: ribosomal RNA, 369 nt
Filed under: uncultured Desulfobulbus sp.
Lineage: Bacteria; Pseudomonadati; Thermodesulfobacteriota; Desulfobulbia; Desulfobulbales; Desulfobulbaceae
Description: bacterial SSU rRNA
Rfam family: Bacterial small subunit ribosomal RNA
Source: RNAcentral
CUUCCAUCUGGAAGAAUCUGGAGACAGGUGCUGCAUGGCUGUCGUCAGCUCGUGUCGUGAGAUGUUGGGUUAAGUCCCGCAACGAGCGCAACCCUUGCCUUAGUUGCCAGCAGUUCGGCUGGGCACUCUAAAGGGACUGCCGGUGUUAAACCGGAGGAAGUGGGGAUGACGUCAAGUCCUCAUGGCCUUUAUGACCAGGGCUACACACGUACUACAAUGGCCGAUACAAAGGGCAGCGACACUGCGAGGUGAAGCCAAUCUCGUAAAAUCGGUCUCAGUCCGGAUUGGAGUCUGCAACUCGACUCCAUGAAGUUGGAAUCGCUAGUAAUCGCGGAUCAGCAUGCCACGGUGAAUACGUUCCCGGGCCUU